RNAcentral lists this ribosomal RNA (787 nucleotides) under uncultured Campylobacter sp. RNAcentral describes it as "bacterial SSU rRNA". It matches the Rfam family "Bacterial small subunit ribosomal RNA", at positions 522 to 1307 of the family's 1533-position model. The record is from RNAcentral. Lineage: Bacteria; Pseudomonadati; Campylobacterota; Epsilonproteobacteria; Campylobacterales; Campylobacteraceae.
UAUACGGAGGGUGCAAGCGUUACUCGGAAUCACUGGGCGUAAAGGGCGCGUAGGCGGAUUAUCAAGUCUCUUGUGAAAUCUAAUGGCUUAACCAUUAAACUGCUUGGGAAACUGAUAGUCUAGAGUGAGGGAGAGGCAGAUGGAAUUGGUGGUGUAGGGGUAAAAUCCGUAGAUAUCACCAAGAAUACCCAUUGCGAAGGCGAUCUGCUGGAACUCAACUGACGCUAAGGCGCGAAAGCGUGGGGAGCAAACAGGAUUAGAUACCCUGGUAGUCCACGCCCUAAACGAUGUACACUAGUUGUUGGGAUGCUAGUCAUCUCAGUAAUGCAGCUAACGCAUUAAGUGUACCGCCUGGGGAGUACGGUCGCAAGAUUAAAACUCAAAGGAAUAGACGGGGACCCGCACAAGCGGUGGAGCAUGUGGUUUAAUUCGAAGAUACGCGAAGAACCUUACCUGGGCUUGAUAUCCUAAGAACCUUUUAGAGAUAAGAGGGUGCUAGCUUGCUAGAACUUAGAGACAGGUGCUGCACGGCUGUCGUCAGCUCGUGUCGUGAGAUGUUGGGUUAAGUCCCGCAACGAGCGCAACCCACGUAUUUAGUUGCUAACGGUUCGGCCGAGCACUCUAAAUAGACUGCCUUCGUAAGGAGGAGGAAGGUGUGGACGACGUCAAGUCAUCAUGGCCCUUAUGCCCAGGGCGACACACGUGCUACAAUGGCAUAUACAAUGAGACGCAAUACCGCGAGGUGGAGCAAAUCUAUAAAAUAUGUCCCAGUUCGGAUUGUUCUCUG